RNAcentral lists this ribosomal RNA (375 nucleotides) under uncultured organism. RNAcentral's name for it is "partial 16S ribosomal RNA". It matches the Rfam family "Bacterial small subunit ribosomal RNA", at positions 527 to 896 of the family's 1533-position model. The record is from RNAcentral.
GAACCGUACAAACGUUAUUCGGAAUCACUGGGCUUAAAGGGUGCGUAGGCGGCGUGGGUAAGUUGGGGUGUGAAAUCCCUCGGGCUCAACCGAGGGAUUGCGCUCAAAACUGCCAUGCUAGAGGGAGACAGAGGUAAGCGGAACUCAGGGUGGAGCGGUGAAAUGCGUUGAUAUCCUGGGGAACACCAGUGGCGAAGGCGGCUUACUGGGUCUCUUCUGACGCUGAGGCACGAAAGCUAGGGUAGCGAACGGGAUUAGAUACCCCGGUAGUCCUAGCUGUAAACGAUGAGCACUUGGUCGGAGACUCCUCCAUAGGUUUCCGGCCGUAGCGAAAGUGUUAAGUGCUCCGCCUGGGGAGUAUGGUCGCAAAGGCUG